GAUAUAUUGAUAUGUUGUAUUGAGUAUACUUAUUCAAUUAUUAUUUAAAUAAUUUUAAGGUUUUAAACUUAAAAUGGAUGAAGAUUAUAAUGGCUUUUCAAAUUUUGAUGUUAAUUAUUUGAUCAUUACAAUUUUGGAUUUAUUAGAAUAAAUUUGUUUAUGAUAUGGCUUAAGAAAGAAUUACAUCAUACAAGAAAUAAGU
Molecule: long non-coding RNA, 202 nt
Filed under: Elaeis guineensis (African oil palm)
Lineage: Eukaryota; Viridiplantae; Streptophyta; Magnoliopsida; Arecales; Arecaceae
Description: long non-coding RNA (EGUI_LNC029828)
Source: RNAcentral